UCUCUCCUUAAUUUCCUCCUCUCUCUAUAAUCCUUUCCUCUCCAAAAACAAACCUGCAACAUCUAUUCCACCAUCAUCGGGGAACCCCUUUCCGACUAUGCGCUCAACCUCUCUAUCUCCAUUUAAACCUUCAGCGAUCUAGAUACGCUCCGGUCACUCAACGGCGGCUCGUGUCUCCACUGCUCGGAGCUCUGUUUCUCUGUCCAACACAUACCGAUACGAACUGGAACCAGGAAUGUUGAUAAUGAAACCGAUGCUUAUGCUAUGCUUGCUGUCAUGGAAAUCAAGUUAGGAGGUCUAGAAACGUCACAUUUAAUUCUGAGUUGUCGAAACAAUUUAUUUGUCUUUGAGAUACUAUGUCUGUAAUAACUAUUUUGCUUGAUAUGUUAUGGUAUGGGACGUAACGUUAAAAUAUUUGGUAAUAUUAGUUGUUAUGAAUU
This 440-nucleotide long non-coding RNA is filed under the name Helianthus annuus (common sunflower). RNAcentral's name for it is "sRNA HanXRQr2_Chr11g0479601". The record is from RNAcentral. Lineage: Eukaryota; Viridiplantae; Streptophyta; Magnoliopsida; Asterales; Asteraceae.